GGACUACUGGGGUAUCUAAUCCCGUUCGCUCCCCUGGCUUUCGCGCCUCAGCGUCAGAUCGGGUCCAGCGUGCCGCCUUCGCCACCGGAGUUCCUGUGGAUCUCAACGCAUUUCACCGCUCCACCCACAGUUCCGCACGCCCCUACCCGCCUCGAGGCCGCCAGUAUCCAUGGCCGUUCCCCGGUUGAGCCGGGGGAUUUCACCACGGACUUGGCAGCCCGCCUACGCGCCCUUUAAGCCCAGUGAUUCCGAACAACGUUCGCACGGUUCGUCUUACCGCGGCUGCUGGCAC
Molecule: ribosomal RNA, 292 nt
Filed under: uncultured Planctomycetota bacterium
Lineage: Bacteria; Pseudomonadati; Planctomycetota
Description: uncultured planctomycete partial 16S ribosomal RNA
Source: RNAcentral